Molecule: non-coding RNA, 78 nt
Filed under: bovine gut metagenome
Description: Cyclic di-GMP-I riboswitch
Rfam family: c-di-GMP-I riboswitch aptamer
About the family: GEMM was predicted in a large-scale screen for bacterial structured RNA regulatory elements. Genes associated with GEMM are involved in a diverse array of functions, including chemotaxis regulation, signal transduction, secretion and chitin.
Source: RNAcentral
UUAAAAGGCAAAGCAGUUGAAAAGCUGUGACGCAAAACUAAAGGGCCUUCACAAGUUGAUUGUAAGGCAGCCAGUUGC